Molecule: ribosomal RNA, 508 nt
Filed under: uncultured bacterium
Lineage: Bacteria
Description: partial 16S ribosomal RNA
Rfam family: Bacterial small subunit ribosomal RNA
Source: RNAcentral
GACGAACGCUGGCGGCGCGCCUAAUACAUGCAAGUCGAACGCUUCUUUCCUCCCGAGUGCUUGCACUCAAUUGGAAAGAGGAGUGGCGGACGGGUGAGUAACACGUGGGUAACCUACCCAUCAGAGGGGGAUAACACUUGGAAACAGGUGCUAAUACCGCAUAACAGUUUAUGCCGCAUGGCAUAAGAGUGAAAGGCGCUUUCGGGUGUCGCUGAUGGAUGGACCCGCGGUGCAUUAGCUAGUUAGUGAGGUAACGGCUCACCAAGGCCACGAUGCAUAGCCGACCUGAGAGGGUGAUCGGCCACACUGGGACUGAGACACGGCCCAGACUCCUACGGGAGGCAGCAGUAGGGAAUCUUCGGCAAUGGACGAAAGUCUGACCGAGCAACGCCGCGUGAGUGAAGAAGGUUUUCGGAUCGUAAAACUCUGUUGUUAGAGAAGAACAAGGACGUUAGUAACUGAACGUCCCCUGACGGUAUCUAACCAGAAAGCCACGGCUAACUACGUG